This 503-nucleotide ribosomal RNA is filed under the name uncultured Synechococcus sp. Its description in RNAcentral is "partial 16S ribosomal RNA". Lineage: Bacteria; Bacillati; Cyanobacteriota; Cyanophyceae; Synechococcales; Synechococcaceae. The record is from RNAcentral.
ACGCGUUGGCUACGACACCGAGGGGGUCGAUUCCCCCGACACCUAGUGUUCAUCGUUUACGGCCAGGACUACAGGGGUAUCUAAUCCCUUUCGCUCCCCUGGCUUUCGUCCAUGAGCGUCAGUUAUGGCCCAGCAGAGCGCUUUCGCCACUGGUGUUCUUCCCGAUAUCUACGCAUUUCACCGCUACACCGGGAAUUCCCUCUGCCCCUACCACACUCGAGUCUUACAGUUUCCAUCGCUGAAAUGGAGUUGAGCUCCACGCUUUAACGACAGACUUGUAAAACCGCCUGCGGACGCUUUACGCCCAAUAAUUCCGGAUAACGCUUGCCACUCCCGUAUUACCGCGGCUGCUGGCACGGAAUUAGCCGUGGCUUAUUCAUCAAGUACCGUCAGAUCUUCUUCCUUGAUAAAAGAGGUUUACAGCCCAGAGGCCUUCAUCCCUCACGCGGCGUUGCUCCGUCAGGCUUGCGCCCAUUGCGGAAAAUUCCCCACUGCUGCCUCCC